AAAAAGCCAAGCGUUUGAAUUAUUUAUAGGACUUUCACAUUUACUUUGAGUCGAUCGCACAAUUGUUCUGAAAUGUAUAAGCUGUUAAGUAUUGUUUUAAUGUUUCUGUUCAUCGUUGCUGACUGUAACGCUUACUUGGUUAUAGAUUUCCGGGAACAACGAUGCUUUGAACCGCACCAUUUGAAAGACCGAGAUAAUGGCUGCCUGGCGGACACUGAAAGGUAUUAUUACGACAUAGGCAAAAAUGAGUGUAUUUUGUUCGAGGACGGUGUUUGCGGGGGCACUGAUAAUAACUUCUCCUCAAAAGCAGAGUGCAUGAGUGCCUGUGGCCGCCAUUGAAUGAACUCGGAAUUAGUUGCAUGAUUGCAUCACUUUCAAAAUCUCCAAAGAAAAUAGUGAUGCAAAUGAUUAUUAAUGCAAUGAAUUUUGUUUUGAAAUUAUA
This is a non-coding RNA of Spodoptera litura, 442 nucleotides long. The record is from RefSeq and is a predicted model, not a curated record. Lineage: Eukaryota; Metazoa; Arthropoda; Insecta; Lepidoptera; Noctuidae.